AAUUUGGAAUAUGCAAGCAGCCGGCGCAGGAUUUUCGUUUCGAUUAAGAUUAUUGUAUAAAAGAGUGAUAUCGCCAUUAAUAUUAUUAUGUAAAAGUGUGAUAGCAUCUAAACAUUCAGUCCAUCAGGAAGCUCAGACAUCGAGAUUGAAGUCGAGGCGUUUGAUGUGGAAAUUAUUUCGGGAUAGGAAAUGGAAAUCGAGUGAGAGGAGUGAUGCAGAGCUGUUAGUUGAUACACUGA
Molecule: unclassified non-coding RNA, 239 nt
Filed under: Hevea brasiliensis (rubber tree)
Lineage: Eukaryota; Viridiplantae; Streptophyta; Magnoliopsida; Malpighiales; Euphorbiaceae
Source: RNAcentral